AGCGAACGCUGGCGGCAGGCCUAACACAUGCAAGUCGAACGGAUCCUUCGGGAUUAGUGGCGGACGGGUGAGUAACACGUGGGAACGUGCCCUUUGGUUCGGAACAACCCAGGGAAACUUGAGCUAAUACCGGAUGUGCCCUUCGGGGGAAAGAUUUAUCGCCAUUGGAGCGGCCCGCGUCUGACUAGCUAGUUGGUGAGGUAACGGCCCACCAAGGCGACGAUCAGUAGCUGGUCUGAGAGGAUGAUCAGCCACACUGGGACUGAGACACGGCCCAGACUCCUACGGGAGGCAGCAGUGGGGAAUCUUGCGCAAUGGGCGAAAGCCUGACGCAGCCAUGCCGCGUGAAUGAUGAAGGUCUUAGGAUUGUAAAAUUCUUUCAGCGGGGACGAUAAUGACGGUACCCGCAGAAGAAGCUCCGGCUAACUUCGUG
This 433-nucleotide ribosomal RNA is filed under the name uncultured bacterium. RNAcentral describes it as "partial 16S ribosomal RNA". It matches the Rfam family "Bacterial small subunit ribosomal RNA", at positions 29 to 507 of the family's 1533-position model. The record is from RNAcentral.